RNAcentral lists this long non-coding RNA (926 nucleotides) under Olea europaea subsp. europaea. Lineage: Eukaryota; Viridiplantae; Streptophyta; Magnoliopsida; Lamiales; Oleaceae. The record is from RNAcentral.
CCCCACAUUACCUUCAUAGUGUUUACUAAUGAAGCAUUGAUCCUGCAGAACAGUAAUGACUUCCGAACAUCAUUCAUGAACAUCCAGUCGAGCAUAUCUAAGAUUUACAGUGUAUUUGUAAAACGAGAUUCUCAAUCACGAGCACGUAAUCGCACUCGACAACGACUUUUAGAGACAUAAAAAUUACCAUUUCUCGCACUCGUUUGACUGAAGUCGAUAGCUAAAUCCAUUUACAAUAGCAAUAAAGCAAAGAGUGCAAGAACCAAAACAACAAAAUGAAUCCUCUUCAGAAUGCCAUCUGUCUCUUGAACGUUACUACUCUCCCUAUCACGGAUUUCGCCUUCGGGAUCACGAAAGGGACGAGAGUAUCGAUGAUAAUAUCCUCGGGUCGCACCAUAUUCACCAGCAUUCGAAAAUCCAUGAACUUGGGCGUUGAAAUUUGGAGAGAAUGUCGGUAUAAAUCCAAACAUCAAGUUAGAGAUGUUACUUGCUCCUGGAGAUGGAGCCGUUUCUGGUCUCUGCCAUGUCGGUCGACUAGGGAUUUCAGUGCUGGGAACGGUUUUUGAUCUCGGGUCAGUUGGAACCUUUCCUCGACCGUACAAAGGAAUCAACUUUUCCUCUCGUAUUAAGGCGUUACAAACUGGGCAUCCUUGUGAUUGAGAGUAAAGUCGUAGCCAUUUAUAGAGACACGGCCAACAAUAUAGAUGACCACAGACGGUGAUUAUAGGAUCCGCUGCUAACUCGAAGCAAAUAUUGCACUCGAAAUCACCACCGUCAUCACUGCCAAUUCCCGAGGAUUCUUGGGCCUCGAUCGACAUUUAAUUCAAAUCCGAAUUUUCCUAAAGAUCACAAGAACAAUGAAUAAUAUUAGAAAGUAAAACCAGUUCAUAGCUAUCUCUUUAGGCCCUAAAAAUAAUUAAUUUAAC